AACUGGUCCAUCAGGACUCUGCUCCCAUUGCUGUUAUGCUUCAGAAGCUGAAUAUAUGGACAGCUUCUCAGAAUGUCAAAUCUCAAAGAUGCUAUGUUUCGGACCGGCCCCAGAUUUAGUCCCUUGGUCUAUUAAACCUUAUAAUGCCUACCUCUUUCUCUCAGUUAGUCUCCAGAGUGUUACUAGAUUCCUUUGCAUACUGAUGUUCCAGACUAGCAUGACUAUGUCAGUCUUUGAAUUCUAGUGCAAAGAAUACUUAUCUAAAUACAAGUGAAGAUCAUCAGAAUAUUAAUGAUUAUGGAAAAUAUAAUUGUGAAACAUUAAGAUAUUUUAUGCAUUACAUAUUUUAGCUCAUUAUAUGCUUGUGGUGAAAGCUAAUUUUAAACCUUUUUGUCAAGUGCCAGCUUUUCCUCAAUUUGCUAUUGUUUUUCCCACCAUUUACUACUUUUCAGCAAUCAGAAUUUUAAAUGUGAAGAACAUCCCACAAAGUGUACCAAAACAGCACUAGCAGAAGACCUGCUUAUUAUAUAACCCAAUCUAGCCAAGUACUGAAGCACUUGGAGACUCCACUCUGCAAUAUGUCUGGACUUCUACUGGCUGGUUAAAUGAACACGAGAGUAUCUUCUUCUACCAAAGUUACAGCAAAAUAAAUUUCUUAGGAGAAGAAAGUCCCAUAACAUUUUGCACCAAGAAUAUGUACCUCUGAAUCAGGCAAAGAAAAUCAUGGAAUGGAUGUUGACUGACCAGUGGAAAAAAAUUUACUUGAGGGAGCUCAACAAGCUUUAAGGCUUCAGAUACCUCUCAAGUGAGGAUAACUUUUUAGCCUACAGUGGAUUCGGAAGGAUACAAAUCUAAGUUACUUUCAGAAGCUAAAAACUGGCAUUGAAUGCUAUGCUAUUUUAAUGGGUGCAUGUCUGUGCAAGAAUUAAACUGUUAAAAUAUUAAUUCAAAGGAGAAAGGGAAGGUAUAUGAUAGACUCAAUUAAGUAUAUCCCCCUAAACUGUGAUAAGUGGAAGUCUGCCAAUAUUGCAGUGAGCAUUUGAGCACUUCCCUCUAGACAUGAGACUACUGAUCUGUGCCAGUUCUACUUUAUAAAUGUUGUUUUGAAGUUUCGUUGUAUUUGAACAUCAUUGCAAUAUAUUAUUCCUAAGCUAAGUUCUCCUGAGGUCCUAAGAAAGAUUUUGCAGACAAUAUAGCUGCAAUUAGUCUCAAGACUCUCUUCAUUUUACCAAGUAUGAAACAUUCCACUACAUUUCUGACAAUCCUCAUUUCCACUGGUUUCAAAUGGAAGCGAACAUUCACAUCUCCCUACAGAAUGUCAUUAAUUGUAGAAACCAUUUACCUAUUCAUUGUAUGUUCAGUAUAAUCAUAGCUCACUCUUCGAGCAACUGAGGAUUGUGUGUAUGAUGAUCCCAAUUUAUUUUAUUUAUUAUUAAAUUUAGAUCCUGGUUUUCUUCAAAACACUAAAUUAAUUUUAUCUUCCUGCUAACUUUGGAUACAAUGAAUGUAACAAGGACAAGUAUCCCACACUUCUUUCUCCUUUAUAUCACUAUAAACUCUGAAAAAUUCCCUCCAUAUUAUGAGCAGUGAAAUUUUAGGAUGGUUUUGUAUUCCAAAAAAGAGGGAAACACAAAACCAAGACAUUCCUUUCCCCCAAGAUAUAGUAGUCAGAACUCUGUAGAAUUACCUAUUGCGAAAGAUGACUUGGGAAUACAGUAUUUUUGCACAUAACAGUUGUCAUAAAUUGAUUUCAACCUUUUGCAAUAAUGAUUUGUGGUCCCCCUCAUUUAUGGUGGUUGCUCUGAUAUUCUUUUACCUUCACUAGCAAAUUUUUGUUUUAUACUUAGGCAGAUACUUGACAAUCUGGUCUGCAUCUAAAAGGGAUCUACCAAGCAGAAAAACUUGACUACAAGUUUGCUUUUAACCAAAGUCAUUAAACUCAAAUCAGUCUUCAAACCAAAGGAAUACUAUCAGACCUAAAAGCAUAAAUCGGUCAUCAAGAUAUUUGUAAAAAUGUGUUAAGAGUCUGGCUCAUUAGUUUGACCCAUAUAUUUAUGGGAGGUGUCAUCACUGCUGCACAAAAAAACCAAUAAAAAAACCCAAAAAACAAAAACCUCUGUUUACAUAAA
Molecule: long non-coding RNA, 2129 nt
Organism: Anolis carolinensis (green anole)
Lineage: Eukaryota; Metazoa; Chordata; Lepidosauria; Squamata; Anolidae
Exons: 4
Source: RefSeq, a predicted model, not a curated record